This 233-nucleotide ribosomal RNA is filed under the name Devriesia mallochii. RNAcentral describes it as "partial 28S ribosomal RNA". It matches the Rfam family "Eukaryotic large subunit ribosomal RNA", at positions 1 to 234 of the family's 3401-position model. Lineage: Eukaryota; Fungi; Ascomycota; Dothideomycetes; Mycosphaerellales; Teratosphaeriaceae. The record is from RNAcentral.
GUUGACCUCGGAUCAGGUAGGGAUACCCGCUGAACUUAAGCAUAUCAAUAAGCGGAGGAAAAGAAACCAACAGGGAUUGCCCUAGUAACGGCGAGUGAAGCGGCAACAGCUCAAAUUUGAAAUCUGGCACCCGCCCGAGUUGUAAUUUGUAGAGGAUGCUUCUGGGCAGCGGCCGGUCUAAGUUCCUUGGAACAGGACGUCAUAGAGGGUGAGAAUCCCGUAUGCGACCGGCU